RNAcentral lists this ribosomal RNA (253 nucleotides) under uncultured bacterium. RNAcentral's name for it is "partial 16S ribosomal RNA". It matches the Rfam family "Bacterial small subunit ribosomal RNA", at positions 524 to 776 of the family's 1533-position model. The record is from RNAcentral.
UACAGGGGGGGCAAGCGUUGCUCGGAAUUACUGGGCGUAAAGGGCCAGUAGGCGGCCAACUAAGUCCGACGUGAAAUCCCCAGGCUUAACCUGGGAACUGCGUCGGAUACUGGAUGGCUUGAAUUCGGGAGAGGGAUGCAGAAUUCCAGGUGUAGCGGUGAAAUGCGUAGAUAUCUGGAGGAAUACCGGUGGCGAAGGCGGCAUCCUGGACCAGUACUGACGCUGAGGCACGAAAGCGAGGGUAGCAAACGGG